This 597-nucleotide ribosomal RNA is filed under the name Aequorea neocyanea. RNAcentral's name for it is "partial large subunit ribosomal RNA". It matches the Rfam family "Bacterial large subunit ribosomal RNA", at positions 1833 to 2597 of the family's 2925-position model. The record is from RNAcentral. Lineage: Eukaryota; Metazoa; Cnidaria; Hydrozoa; Leptothecata; Aequoreidae.
GCCCUAGAUAAUAUCUAAGGUGUAACCUGCCCAGUGAUCUUUAAUUGAAACAAGAUAAAACCUUGACAAUAAGAUUAAAAGGACGCGGUAACCUUGACCGUGAUAAUGUAGCAUAAUCACUCGCCAUUUAAUUGAUGGAUAGUAUGAAUGGUUGAACGAAUAUUCCACUGUCUUAGAAAGAAUUAAUAGAAAUUGAAAUAGUAGUUAAGAUGCUAUUUAAAACUGUAAGACGAAAAGACCCUAUAGAGCUUAACUAUAAUCUUUUUAUUUACUAAAGAAAAAAUAUUUUUAAGAAUUAAAAAGAUUGGUAGUUUAGUUGGGGCGACUGCUUUCCAAAUUUAACGAAAGUAAGCAAUAUUAAUAUUUAAUUUAUUGUAUAGUUAAAAAACUUAACAAUUAUAAUUGUAGGCUAUAAUGACCCGUUUUUACUACAUAAGAAGAAAAACGAUCAAUUGAUAAAAGCUACCUUAGGGAUAACAGGAUAAUUUCAUUUUAGAGUUCCUAUCGAAAAUGAAGUUUGUCACCUCUAUGUUGAAUUAAGAUAUCCUGAUAAUGCAGAAGUUAUCAAAGGUAGGUCUGUUCGACCUUUAAAAUCUU